Long non-coding RNA from Haliotis rubra (blacklip abalone), 619 nucleotides. RefSeq lists it as uncharacterized. NCBI's taxonomy places the organism in Eukaryota, Metazoa, Mollusca, Gastropoda, Lepetellida, Haliotidae. The transcript has 2 exons. The record is from RefSeq and is a predicted model, not a curated record.
GAUACAUGCUUGAUAAACAUACUAGUAUACAUAGUGAUACAUGCUUGAUAAACAUACUAGUAUACAUAGUGAUACAUGCUUGAUAAACAUACUAGUAUACAUAGUGAUACAUGCUUGAUAAACAUACUAGUAUCAAGUUAUACACAAUUGAUAAUGGUACUAGCAUCUGUACUGAAACAUUUAAUUGGUAGGUGGAAAAAGUUGAAAUCCUUAAGUCAAAUCUGUCUUCAUCACUAGCAUACUUGUCAAUUUAAUUUUUGUUAUUUUAAGUUUGUUAAAAUACAAUAUAAAUGGUAAAUCAUCUUGUCUAGUGAUAAUGUAUCUCAGAUUUUACAUUUGACCAAGUUAUCACCUGUUCGUUUAUCUGAAACCCUCUGAUGGGAUACUAUGCAUUUUGUUACUGUGCAAAUACUGACAUUCACCGAUAGCUUCACACUUUAAUUUUUGUCAGCAUUAAUCAACAACACAAACAUGUGUCAGUUCGGCUGUACCUGUUUAUUGUACAUCUUUUGUCAUGACAUACAGGUCCUCAUUCCUCGAUCCUCCAGUAGAUGUCACUUUGAGAAUAGCACAGCGAGAAUAGCAAUGAACAUAAGUAAAACCUAUCAAACUGAUUAUC